This 296-nucleotide ribosomal RNA is filed under the name uncultured bacterium. Its description in RNAcentral is "partial 16S ribosomal RNA". It matches the Rfam family "Bacterial small subunit ribosomal RNA", at positions 477 to 776 of the family's 1533-position model. The record is from RNAcentral.
AUGCGCCUUGCCAGCCCGCUCAGGUGUGCCAGCAGCCGUGGUAAUACGGAGGAUCCGAGCGUUAUCCGGAUUUAUGGGUUUAAAGGGUGCGUAGGCGGUUUGAUAAGUUAGAGGUGAAAUGUCGGGGCUCAACCCCGAAACUGCCUCUAAUACUGUUGGACUAGAGAAUAGUUGCGGUAGGCGGAAUGUAUGGUGUAGCGGUGAAAUGCAUAGAUAUCACGCAGAACCCCGAUUGCGAAGGCAGCAUACCGGUGCACACUGACCGCUCAGGCACGAAAGCGUGGGUAUCGAACAGG